AGGUAAUUCAACAGAGAAAGGGUAGAUAGCCUUUUCACAAAAUAAGCCUUCUCAUACCUUACACCACAUACAAAAAAAAUUUAAAUGGAUCAUAGAUUUGAAUAUAACAUGUAAGACUAUAAAUCUCUUUGAAGAAAACAUAGGAGAAAUCUGUUACAAUGGGUUCAUCACAGAGUUUUUACAAAUCAAAAUCAUGACCAUAAAAGAGAAUAUUGAUUAAUUGAACCUAUCAAAAUUUUACAAUUCUGCUCUGUGAAAGACACUUUAUGCAAGUGAAAAGAUAACCUAUGGCAUGGGGAAAACGUCUGCAAAUCAUUUAUCUGGUGAAUUACUUGCAUUGAGAAUAUUUAAAAACUCUCUAAACUCAAUAAUAGGAAAACUAACAGCACAACAAAAGAUAUUCACAACAUUUAAACAGACACAUAUAUUUAUGGUAAAUAAGCACAUGAAAAGAUGGUCAAUAUCAUUAAUCACUAGAAAAAUGCAAAUCAAUACCACAGUAAGCUACACACAUGUUAAAAUGCUUUAAAAUUUUAAAAACAGGUAACAUCAAAUGCUUGUUAGGAUGUGGAGCAGCUCUCACGCAUGGCUAAUAGGAAUUUGAAAUGAGACAGCCAUUUUGGAAGAAGAUUCGGUCGUUUUUUUUAAGUUAAUACUUUAAGAAGCCUCAUAGUUUUCUUUAACAGAUCAUAGUAGAUGACCCAGCAAUGUCAUGAGUAGACAUUUACCCAAGUGAAUUCUGAAAUUUAAGUUCACAUGGCAUUACUUAUGAUCACCAAAAACUGGAAACAGCCCUCUGUGGAGAGAAUAAUGAUCCCUCACAGAUAUCUGCAUCUUAGUCUCCAGAGCCUGUGAAGAAUAUGUUAGUAACACGGAAAAAGGGUAUCAAGGUUUCAGAUGAAUUAAAUUUGCUAAUCUGCUGACUUUAACAUAGGGACAUCAUUCUGGAAUGAUCCAGGUGGGAUAAAGGUAAUCACAAGGGUCCUUAAAAGUGAAGGAGGCUCUGGGAGUCAGAACCAGAGAGAUGGCAGUGUGAGCAGGACUCAGCCUGACAUCGCUGACUUUGAAGAUGGAAAAAGACAGUCACAGGCCAAGGAAUGGGGAUGCUUUUGAAAAGUUGGAAAGGACCAUGAAAUGGCUUCUCUCCUGGAUGCUCCAGAGAGGAAUGUGGCGCUGCUGACAUUGAUCUGAGCCUGGUGAGACCCAUUUUGGUUCUCUGAACCUCCAUUCCCUUAAGAUAAUAAAUUUGGGCUAUUUUAAGCCAUUACGUUAGUGGUAACAUCACUGCAGCAUUAGAAAACGAACAUAUAUUUAGAUGUCCUAUGACAGAAGAACAGAUAAACCAUGGUCCACCUGUACAAUAGAAUACUUCUCAACAACAAAAAUGAAACAAAUUGUUUAUUCAUGGAACAACAGGAAUGAAACUUAACACUAUUUUACUGAGUUAAAGUAGCCAGAUUCGCACGGCAUUUAUACAAAAUGGCAUUCAGGCAAAAUGAAAAUGAUAGGGAUGGACACAGAUAAGUGGUUGCCAGGGUUUAGCAUUGUAGGAAUGGGCCUUCUCCAAAAGGACAGCACAAGAGGAUUGGGGGGGAAAUAGAAGCGUUCUGUAUGAUACAUGACUAUAUGAAUUUGUCAAAACCCACACAACCGUAUACCACCAAAAGGGAACUUUAACUGUGUGCAAAUUAAAAAAAAAAUGUCCAUCAGGAAGUUAGAGAACCUGCAGGGGGAAAUAAUUGUAUGUAUCUUUCAGUUUGAUAACAAAAAUAAAAGUUAAUGGAAAAAUCACUUAUAUUCCUGCCUCCGAGGGAAGCACUGUCAACUGGCAAUGUGUGUAUUCCCAGAGUCUUUCUGUUCGUAUAGAUAAAUAGAGACAGUAGAGAUUACUUGCAAGUUCAUCCAGACAUCCUGAACAAAUUUUCAUCUUGUUUCAAAAUCCUGUAUGGUUUUUAAGGUCUCCCUUGUGCCUUUCUUUCCUAUGGUGUCUGUCAAGUUCUCACAUUGUUCAUUUGUUGUGAUUAUCUAAACCAGUGUCAUUAAUGCUGUGUUCUUUCAAUUGCUGAGAUUACAAAUUAGCCCUCAUCUAAAGUGGCUUGCUUCUUUCUUGUGCUUUAGUUAUCUACUGCUGUGUGCCAAUUCUACCACAAAGUUAACAGCUUUAGAAAACAUAGAUAUAUUAUCUCACAGUUUCUGGGGGUCAUGAGUGCAGGCACAGCUGAGCUUGCUCCUCUGGCUGAGGGUCAGAUAAGGCUGCAAUCAAGUUGUGGGUCAGAGCAGAGUUCUCACCUGGAGGCCACUCACAGUUCCUUGCCAUGUUUGGUUUCCUAUCCUUGCUGCUUGCUCCUUACUGCCAGCAAGGGAGAGAAAGAGAUUCCAGCAAGACAGGUGUGAAGUCCUACAUAGCAUAAUCACAUAAUCAGGUACACAUAGUCACACACAGCAUGUCAUUUUUGCAAAUAACAGUUCCUGCCCACACUUAAUGGGAGAGGAACAUACAAGGAUGUGAACACCAGAUGGUGAGGAUGCUGGGGGGACCACAAAUGUGUUCAAGCAUCUGCUGAGAAAAGUCUUUGGUGGUCCUGCUGCUUACAGUGAUGGUGGCCUCUCAGAGACCUCUAAAAGGUUCUUUUCUUAUCUUUAAUGUCCACCUUCAUUUCUAGUUUAUUUGGGGUGAGUAGUCUCUUUCUACUUCUCAGGGAAAAUGCUUUUCCCUUGCACCAAACAGCUGAGUGGUCCCUUCUUACUCAGUUCUUCUUUGCUCUUCAGGUGGAAACACCUUACAUGUGUGAGGUGUCCGGAUCUGCUGCCGAUAAAAAGUUUCAUAUUUUAUAGAUCAUUUUGUUAAUUUUCAGCAAGAAUCUGGAAG
Long non-coding RNA from Equus caballus (horse), 2869 nucleotides. Lineage: Eukaryota; Metazoa; Chordata; Mammalia; Perissodactyla; Equidae. The record is from Ensembl.